GAUGAACGCUGGCGGCGUGCCUAAUACAUGCAAGUCGAGCGAACGGGCGAGAAGCUUGCUUCUCUGAUGUUAGCGGCGGACGGGUGAGUAACACGUGGAUAACCUACCUAUAAGACUGGGAUAACUUCGGGAAACCGGAGCUAAUACCGGAUAAUAUUUUGAACCGCAUGGUUCAAAAGUGAAAGACGGUCUUGCUGUCACUUAUAGAUGGAUCAGCGCUGCAUUAGCUAGUUGGUAAGGUAACGGCUUACCAAGGCAACGAUGCAUAGCCGACCUGAGAGGGUGAUCGGCCACACUGGAACUGAGACACGGUCCAGACUCCUACGGGAGGCAGCAGUAGGGAAUCUUCCGCAAUGGGCGAAAGCCUGACGGAGCAACGCCGCGUGAGUGAUGAAGGUCUUCGGAUCGUAAAACUCUGUUAUUAGGGAAGAACAUAUGUGUAAGUAACUGUGCACAUCUUGACGGUACCUAAUCAGAAAGCCACGGCUAACUACGUG
Molecule: ribosomal RNA, 497 nt
Filed under: uncultured bacterium
Lineage: Bacteria
Description: partial 16S ribosomal RNA
Rfam family: Bacterial small subunit ribosomal RNA
Source: RNAcentral